Molecule: long non-coding RNA, 1281 nt
Filed under: Oryctolagus cuniculus (rabbit)
Lineage: Eukaryota; Metazoa; Chordata; Mammalia; Lagomorpha; Leporidae
Description: lncRNA (ENSOCUG00000036225.1)
Source: RNAcentral
AUGUUAGGGCCGCUCUUCCCGGAGUCCCGCCUACAGGCACGACCCCGUCCCUUCCUCUCCCGGGUGCCCCAGUCAGCGGUCAUCCCCGCUCGUGUCCCAGGCCGGUCAGGGCUCCACCACAGCUCCGCCGCGGCGGGUAGGAGUGCCCCGCCCACAGCGCCAGAGGCUCCGCCCACCGGGCCGCGCCCUCCCCCACUCCGCUCACCCCUGGGUCCUCCUGGCUGCAGGCGUCCGACAUUGGCUCGGGGUCGCUCCAUCCACCUAGGGGAGGUACCGCUGUGUCCUGCGCGCAGCGAGGCUGAGGGGCUGGCGCUUUGCAGGCUGCACCAGCCGCGAGUUCAAGUACUGACUGGUCACUAUCCAACUUUGGGACCACCCCAGGUCACCCCCCCACUCCCCGCAACCACCACCACCAUCCUCACUCCCAAAGUCAGAUGCAUCGUCUCAGAGCCCUCAAACUGCACUGCGGCUAAGGAUAAAGCUGGGGGGUCAGCCGUGCCAUCUGAAUCCCAAGGAGAUGGGCUAGGGCUCCCUCUGCAAGCCGGGCUUGGUCACACACACACCGAGGGAAGCGUGGCCGCGAAGGCGGGCCUGGAACGGGGUGGUGGUGUAGGGCCCAUGAAUGUGCUCCGAGAACGGGCCACUGGCGCUUUGGAGCCUGAGGCCAGCAGGACCGGGGGACCCCACAGUCAGCCCGGGUCACCCGCUUCCCAGGGCACCCGUCGCCCCCCAGGGACGUCCAGGUGCUUUCUGUCCAGGCCUGGCCUGCUCUGCUGCUGCAGGUGCAAAGUGGAGGUGCGGGCGCAGAGAGAAGGAAUGGGGUGCUGGACAAGGAGCCCGGGGGAGCCAGGGGAGAGAGACGUGAGACGCCAGCUCCCCUCCCCACGCAGCCCCUGCCCUCAGGUGUGCGUGGGGCAGGCCUUGGGAUCCUCUCCCUUUUCUCCCAGGCAGGCUGGCGGGGGCUUCCAGGAAGCCCUCCCCGCCUUCUGUUUCUUUCCGGCCUGGACUCUGCCACUCCCGCGCCUGCUGCUCCCCAUUCUCCCUGCCUCUUCCGCCCUGCAGGCUCUCAGGGGAAUCUCCCAACGGCCCCGGCCCCGGCCCCGUGGCUUCCCCAGGUCCUCACCCCAGCCCCGUGCCCAGGCGCUGUCCCCGCCCUGUCCGAGGACACCGCUCCUCUGUGUUUCUUUCAUCCUGGUCACCUCCCGGCUGAGCUCCGGGCGUCCCAUGCCUCCUCCACGCUGGCGUCUGGCGCAGCAACUGUUUGCUAAGGAACGCGUGUGA